UAUCCUCCUUUCGAACCUUGGACUUUCGCUUGCAUUGAGGUUAAGUGGCUGAAGGGAACACAUUUUUUUCUAAUUACAGGCCGUGGGACGUCCAGGUCUGGUUUACAGCUGGCGUCACCUGAGUGGAGGUCGACAUCAAACGAGGUGGACAAGUGCGGACAAGAUGGUCCAUCUGUGAAGGAGAGUGGAAGAACCGUACUGUAAAACUUUGGCCCGACAUGACGUGGACUCCAAACGCCCUCCGUGCUCACUCCCAGAUGUGCGACGUUGCCAUGGCAGCGGAGAAGGUCUGGAGUGUCCGAGCACACCUGGCUGCAAUCACCAGGCCGUACUGAUUGUUUGAACCUGUCAGGUGCUGCUUUCUCCACGUCUAUAGACCACGCCAACAUUCCUCCAUUUGCUUGCUCAGAGGUAUUUUCAGAUUGUUUCUUUGUAUUUUCAUCCGCAGUUCCUCUCCUGCAUUCCUACGGACAGUUUUCUUCGAUACUUUGUUUUCGUGUGAUUUUGUGGCUCAGGUUCUCUCGUCCAGUACCAUUGUUUGUUGUUUUGUCCUUAUUGUUUGGAUCGGGAGUCAGUAUAUUUUAAAACUGCCUUCUUUCUCUGAUUCUGGGGUGCAACCUUUUUAUCUGACCAUUCCACUUUCGAUUCUGCUUAACGGUUCUUAUUUUGGGAAAAAAGGAGAAAAAAAGGGGGAUUAGCCUCAAUUUUUUCAGUUUAGA
This is a long non-coding RNA of Nerophis ophidion (straightnose pipefish), 719 nucleotides long. RefSeq lists it as uncharacterized. The record is from RefSeq and is a predicted model, not a curated record. Lineage: Eukaryota; Metazoa; Chordata; Actinopteri; Syngnathiformes; Syngnathidae. The transcript is spliced from 3 exons.